GACAGAGGGUGCAAGCGUUAAUCGAAAUAACUGGGCGUAAAGAGUACGUAGGCGGAAAGAUAAGUCAUGUGUGAAAAAUCGGGGCUCAACCUCGGGACUGCAUAUGAUACUGUUUUUCUAGAGUUUGGUAGAGGUAAGUGGAAUUUCCGGUGUAGCGGUGAAAUGCAUAGAUACCAUCAGGAACACCGAUAGCGAAGGCAUUGUACUGGCCAACAACUGACGCUGAGGCACGAAAGCACGGGUAGCGAACAGG
This 253-nucleotide ribosomal RNA is filed under the name uncultured bacterium. RNAcentral's name for it is "partial 16S ribosomal RNA". It matches the Rfam family "Bacterial small subunit ribosomal RNA", at positions 524 to 776 of the family's 1533-position model. The record is from RNAcentral.